CAAACAUACUUACUCUUGUCACUUUUACUUCUAGUGAAAAAAAAAAUUACUUUGUUUCUAAAUUAAUAUUUUUUCAAGACACAUUACUUCUUUGAACACUUGGAUGAAAAUCAAAUAGGGUUUGUAAUAUGUACGGAUUUUCGGGUCAAUGCUUAGAGCGGGACAAUUAUUUUUAUCACACAAAUUUAUUCUUGUUUUUUGUCAGCCUGAGUAGUGUAAAACUUCACUCAGCAUAUGUCUUGUAGUCGGUCAUGUAACAACCGAAUGCAUUUUUAAUUCGUCUUUGUAUAGUUUCCUUUAAACUAAACAAACACGCACUCUGACAUAACCGGUCUUCCAAAAUGUUUGUGUUCUAUAAAAAUUCAAUUCAUCGUGUAUUUUAUAACAAAAUGUCUUUUCAAGAAUUUCGCCAUCAUCGUAUAACCCAUAGGAAUGUAUGCUUGUAGAAAACUAGAGUGUCUUCUAGUGUAUGUUUCAAAUGAACUGGAACUCUGCAUAGUGCAGGUUUCAAUAUUGUAAUACUUACUCAAGAAUCGUUACAUUUCUCAGUAUUAUAAAAGUUUCUCUUUUGAAAAUUUACCAUUCCAGUGUUUAUGUAGAAUAACCAACUUGCAUUUUUUUGAAAGAGUUACGUCGAACACUGACGAAAUUUUAGUAUGUUUUUCCUAUUGUAAAAUGCGUCUUGUUUGUCUUUCUAUAUUACUGCAAUCAAAAAAAACAUGAUUUUCUAUAGAAAACCUUGAUGUUUUAUUGCAUGAUCCUUUUACCAUACUUUAAAUGGGGUAAAUAAAAAACGUAACUUUAAAAAAAUUUCGGCGUUGCUGAUGGAAUAGAGAUAGUUGAAUAAAAGUUAUCCUAUUGAAUAUUUGUAGAUACACUGAGCCACUCAUAAUUUUAUCGAAAUUGGAAUGGAUAUCUACUCACAUUCAAGCAUGCGAAAAUUUUCUUGCGCUUUCCGAACCAGGUAUAUUAAUUUUAAAAAUCGAUGAAUCCAAUACAGUACGACAAAGUUAUUUACUACAUAAUAAUUUCCAUACAACUUUAUUGUUUUUUAAUGGACAAAAGAAGCAGUUCGCAAAUUUUGAUAGGAAUGUUUUCUUGGUUUUCGGUGUUUUCCCUAAUGCGGAGCGAUUAUAGCUUUCUACGUAAAGGAUGCUAAUUUUAAAAACUUGUUAAAAAGCUUCGCAACACAUCCAAUCAGUUUAAUUACCCUUCAUUGAUAAGGAUUAUUAUAUUCUUUGUGUUUCUAGAUGUCCUCGGGCGUUUCUAGAGAAAAAGCUUGUAUAUAUGAUGGAUUCCAGGUUUUGAUUUUUACGUUAAACGUUUUCGUUACAAACGGAAUCUCCAUGGUAAAAGGUUAUCCUGACGAAUUGUUGGUGGUUCACUUAUCAUGUAUACUCUUGAUUUUAAUUUGACUCACAUUCUUUUUUAUUAAAGUCAACGUAAUUUACAAAGAAAAAUUCACAAGCAUAUUGAAUUUGCUCAACCUGACUACUAACAAAAAAAAUAGAAAAUAAAAAAAAAUUCAAAAGCUUUAUUACGUUUAUUUUCCAUAAUUCAAACGUGAUGUUUUAUUUUAGUUUAUGAAAAAAUUUUUGAAAUUGUCUUCACAAGUAUGGCAUACCAGGUUACUUUUGAUUUUUAGUAUUAGCCGAUCGUUUCAUUAUCCUACCGUAAACAGAAAAUACGAUGUGGUGCUAUGAGAAAAAAUAUAGCUACAACGCUCAUAUGAUUUACUGCAACUGUAUGUAACGCUAACUGAUUAAAUGCGUCACUAAAUAUCUUGAAUUUUUUUUUUGUUCUUUGGAACUUUAUUAUGUUAAUUUAGUUUGCUAGUUACUAUUUAAAAAAUAAAAGAUUAAAUAUUUAAGGUACACUUCACUAGCAUUACAUUGACUUAUUG
Molecule: long non-coding RNA, 1903 nt
Organism: Hylaeus volcanicus
Lineage: Eukaryota; Metazoa; Arthropoda; Insecta; Hymenoptera; Colletidae
Exons: 3
Source: RefSeq, a predicted model, not a curated record